This 78-nucleotide transfer RNA is filed under the name Halorubrum tailed phage 8. RNAcentral's name for it is "tRNA-Asn". It matches the Rfam family "tRNA". From Rfam's summary of the family: Transfer RNA (tRNA) molecules are approximately 80 nucleotides in length. Their secondary structure includes four short double-helical elements and three loops (D, anti-codon, and T loops). Lineage: Duplodnaviria; Heunggongvirae; Uroviricota; Caudoviricetes; Thumleimavirales; Hafunaviridae. The record is from RNAcentral.
UGCCGAGGUAGCUCAGUUGGUAGAGCGCCUGACUGUUAAUCAGGUAGCCACAGGUUCGAGUCCCGUCCUCGGCGCUUG